UGCCCUGGCAGUCAGAGGCGAUGAAGGACGUGCUAAUCUGCGAUAAGCGUCGGUAAGGUGAUAUGAACCGUUAUAACCGGCGAUUUCCGAAUGGGGAAACCCAGUGUGAUUCGUCACACUAUCAUUAACUGAAUCCAUAGGUUAAUGAGGCGAACCGGGGGAACUGAAACAUCUAAGUACCCCGAGGAAAAGAAAUCAACCGAGAUUCCCCCAGUAGCGGCGAGCGAACGGGGAGGAGCCCAGAGCCUGAAUCAGUGUGUGUGUUAGUGGAAGCGUCUGGAAAGGCGCGCGAUACAGGGUGACAGCCCCGUACACAAAAAUGCACAUAUUGUGAGCUCGAUGAGUAGGGCGGGACACGUGGUAUCCUGUCUGAAUAUGGGGGGACCAUCCUCCAAGGCUAAAUACUCCUGACUGACCGAUAGUGAACCAGUACCGUGAGGGAAAGGCGAAAAGAAC
RNAcentral lists this ribosomal RNA (456 nucleotides) under Citrobacter braakii. Its description in RNAcentral is "bacterial LSU rRNA". It matches the Rfam family "Bacterial large subunit ribosomal RNA", at positions 29 to 524 of the family's 2925-position model. The record is from RNAcentral. Lineage: Bacteria; Pseudomonadati; Pseudomonadota; Gammaproteobacteria; Enterobacterales; Enterobacteriaceae.